CCCGGGAACACUUCCGGCCGUGUCCAAUGUAUCCAAAACUUUUCAAAAACUCAUCUAUCGAGGUUGUCUUCCAAAACCAUGAAGUUUGAUAUGUCGCAAGACUGGGUUUUACAUCAAAGUGUCCACUACCCCAGGGAACAAGGUUCUCGGAACAUCCGGAACCAUGUCCUGGUGAUUCAAUUGUAUCAAAACUAACGUCUGCUGCUGGUCUAUGAUGAUUGACCACGUUUGCAUCAACAUUCUGGGCGCUGUCGUUCAUUUAUCAAUGGUUUAAAUAAAAAUGACCCGUUUUUGACUGCGCCUGACCCAGGACCCCCCUUAAUAAAUCCGGCCGGAUUUGCACCAUGUUAUUUCGAUUUUGAUUUCUAGGUCAGAUCGAAACGGGGUAUUUAACCAAUGAAUCGCUUGCUUUGAGCGUGCUUACAGCGGCACACUAGGAGUUAACUUUCUAAAAUCAGUAUGGCGAAAGGCAUCUAUGGUUCGAUUUCUCAAAAUUAAGCACUUUCAUCAAAAAAAUAUUUGGUAGGCAUGGUAGCGGACACUUUCCUACAUAAUCGGUACCAAAUAGUUUUUCAUGAAAAGUUUCUUAUUUUGAGAAAACCCGCGUUAGAUGACUUUCACCAUACAAAUUUCUGGCGGUUAACUCUUGCUGGCUAUUUUGCACAUAUAUGUACUAUAGCGCCUGGAUGUGACAGUGGCGGGUAGAAAAUCAGUCACUGCCAAUAAUUCAUUGAAAUGUAUCUGUGCAAUCGGUGAAGAGUGGCAAAUCGGUUCGGUCCGCUGUUGUGCGGUUUAUUAAUCUCAUUUUGUAUACCUAGAAUACUCCAAACUGUUCUAUAUUCAUCCAUAUUACAACACUUUUCUUUCUCAGAAAAACAUUUUGGAUGGCCCAUACUGCCCCUAAUGGUGGCUCAUUUUGCCCCGUAUAUACACAUUAAAACCAAUACAUUUUCCAACAAUUUCCAAACGUAUUUUUCACCAUUCAUCGACGUAAUAUGGAAGGUAACACUCACUAGUACUAUAAGCAUUGACGAAUACAUAGACGGAGGGGUGGCCAUUUUUCCGGGCACCACUAUAUACCCCUGGGGAGUGACGGAUUACAAUUAUUACAAUCACUCGACCAUUGAGAAGCCCCUCAAUUCGAAUCACGUCAGAUUGACAACAGUUGUCAUUUCCAUUUUUGUUUACCUCUGAUGGUGAUUCUCUGAUUCAAAAAACAUUGAAUCGAGACGAGUGGACCGUGCCGUCCGAAACAACAAAGAAAAAAUUAUCGAACCGAUCCAUCUUGUCUACUGUAUAGAGCAGUCGUAGUAGCAAUCGAACCGUAGGAAGAGGAAAGAUUAAGAACUCAGUUGGUGUGCGACUUGUAGACCACCGAAAUCGACCACAAGAAAUUUCCUCAAUUUAGCAGUGCGGUUGGAAUUGCAAAUGCCUUGUAGGUAUAUGCCGACAAAAAUGAACAUGGAUACUACAUGGUUCGGAGCAGCAAAGAUCCUACCGGAAGUGGUGCAAGAAAAUUCCUUAUUUUGUGACAGAGAGCAUCGGAAGCCGGACAGCACGAUAAUCAGGAAUUGUGGUAAUAAUAUAAUACCAUGGUGGUAAAAUUUUGAUCUACGCGUGCUGGUGUAUAUUCACAAUACUUGCGCGCUGCUGAGUUAUUGCACUGGUAGGGACAAUAUGCAAUACAAAGUUCCAUUCGCUGUGGCCUAGCAGUGCCACAUCAGAUUGUGAAGUUGUCUGAUCAGUAUGGUGGUAGCGGUUCAAUCCAAUAAUACUGGAACAUUGCAUUACAAUUAAACCCAAUUUUUUUAUGUCUUUAUUAAGGAGACUUUCAGCCCUAUGCUGGCUCAUCUCCGCAAUCUAAAUGUUCAUUUUGAAGAAAAUAAGUAAAAAUUGUUUCUAAUUCCAACACAAAAUUUUAAAGCAAAUAUUAUUAUAAUAAAACCUAGUUCAGCAUCGGGAAUCGAAUUUUUAGAGUUGCUUUGUAAACGCGUACCUUACCGCACGGCUAGGGAGGGCCCAACUUAUACAAGAACCACAAAAACUGAAUGGAUUUUUUUACACUACCCACAAAGUUGGAUGAUUGAUUGACUGCUAUUGCGAUUGGGCUGAUUGAAUGAUUGAUUUAAUGGGUUGAGGCUUGAUUGAUUGAUGGACUGCCGUUAUACGCAUAACUGCCCCAUGUACAUAGGAUUCCCAGGGACAAAUAUGCGUAUGACAGCAGUUGAUUGAUUAAAUGAAUGAUUUAUAGAUUAAUUGAUCGAUUGAUUGAGUUGAUUGAUUGCUUGGAUUGAUCGAUUGAUUGAGUUGAUUGGGUUCUGAUAACGACAAUUACUUUGAUUGAUUGAUUGGGUUGAUAAUUCGUUGAUUGAUUGAUUGUUUGGGUUCAUUGCGAUUGAUUGAUUCGGCUGAUUACGAUUGAUUGAUUGGUUUAUUGGUUUAAAUGAAUCAUUUUUAAGAAUUGAUUGAAUGAAUCAUUGAUUGAUUGGGUUGAUUUUUUUUCUUCUUUAUUAAAGAGGCUUUCAGCUCUUGGCUGGUUCACCUCUGAAUAGGGUUGAUUGUUUGAUUGAUUGAUUGAUAGGGUUUGAUUGAUAAAUUGAAUGAAUGAUUGAUUGGGUUGUUAGUUGAUGGAAUGAUUGGAUUGAUUGAUUGAAUAAUUGGGUUGAUUAAUUUAUUGAUUAAGUUGAUUGAAUGACUGAUAUAGAUUGAUUGAUUGAUUGAUUGAGAUGAUUGUUGGUUGAGUGAUUAAUUUAUCGGGUUGAUUGCUUGGCUUGAUCGAUUGUUUGAAUAAUUUAUUGAUUGAUUGAUAAAUUAAUUGAAAUGGUUGAUUGAUUGAUUGUGUCUAUUGAUUGAUUGAACGAUUGAGGGAUUGAUUGGGUUGAUUAAUUGAUUGAUUAGUUGGUUUGAUUGAUUGAUUCAUUGGGUGGUAGCGUAGGUGAUUGAGACCCCUCUCUCCCACAAGUGCUUACGUAAUUAGUGAACGCUAUCAUUAACAUAAUCAUUCGAAUAAAAAAAAUAAAAAAAUGAUGUUCUCUUCACCAAAAUAUUAGUGUUAACAGGAUAUUUUAUUCAUAUGAAUUUAAAAUUAAAUAAAACGAGC
Molecule: long non-coding RNA, 3100 nt
Organism: Armigeres subalbatus
Lineage: Eukaryota; Metazoa; Arthropoda; Insecta; Diptera; Culicidae
Exons: 2
Source: RefSeq, a predicted model, not a curated record